CAGCAGCCGCGGUAAUACCGGCGGCCCGAGUGGCGGCCACUAUUAUUGGGCCUAAAGCGUCCGUAGCCGGGCUGGUAAGUCCCCCGGGAAAUCUGGCGGCUUAACCGUCAGAAUUCCGGGGGAUACUGCCAGCCUAGGGACCGGGAGAGGCCGGGGGUAUUCCCGGGGGAGGGGUGAAAUCCUGUAAUCCCGGGAGGACCACCUGUGGCGAAGGCGCCCGGCUGGAACGGGUCCGACGGUGAGGGACGAAGGCCAGGGGAGCGAACCGGAUUAGAUACCCGGGUAGUCCACGCCGUAAACGGUGGGCACUAGGUGUGGGGGGUUAAUCCCUCCGUGCCGAAGCUAACGCAUUAAGUGCCCCGCCUGGGGAGUACGGCCGCAAGGUUGAAACUUAAAGGAAUUGGCGGG
Molecule: ribosomal RNA, 408 nt
Filed under: uncultured microorganism
Description: bacterial SSU rRNA
Rfam family: Archaeal small subunit ribosomal RNA
Source: RNAcentral